Molecule: unclassified non-coding RNA, 372 nt
Filed under: Hevea brasiliensis (rubber tree)
Lineage: Eukaryota; Viridiplantae; Streptophyta; Magnoliopsida; Malpighiales; Euphorbiaceae
Source: RNAcentral
ACAAAAUGAAAAAGAAAGAAAAACUCUGAUAAUCUUCCCAUCAUUCCUCACCAGUGCGCAUCCUCUGAUUCCACCCUUUCCCUUGACCUAUGCGCAGUGAUAUAUAUUCCCCCAGUAAACCCAAGAAACAUCCCUGCAAUUGAUCACCGUAUACAUCCUCAGCAUUUGCAAUCUCCAGCAACAGCAAAUUAAUUCCUGCUUUGUUCAACUUGUGUUGUUUACCAGCUGAUGGAAGCUCAAGACCCAUUAUCAAUUUCUUUCUUUCUUUCUCACAAAUAUGAUUCACUGUCCACAGAACUUAAGUGACAAACCUUUUUAUUUCCGUACUUCUUGUUGCUGCCUCCUCCACAAGUAAUCGAAAUCUCACAUCCG